GACUUGGAGGUUGUGCCCUUGAGGCGUGGCUUCCGGAGCUAACGCGUUAAGUCGACCGCCUGGGGAGUACGGCCGCAAGGUUAAAACUCAAAUGAAUUGACGGGGGCCCGCACAAGCGGUGGAGCAUGUGGUUUAAUUCGAUGCAACGCGAAGAACCUUACCUACUCUUGACAUCCAGAGAACUUAGCAGAGAUGCUUUGGUGCCUUCGGGAACUCUGAGACAGGUGCUGCAUGGCUGUCGUCAGCUCGUGUUGUGAAAUGUUGGGUUAAGUCCCGCAACGAGCGCAACCCUUAUCCUUUGUUGCCAGCGRUYCGGYCGGGAACUCAAAGGAGACUGCCAGUGAUAAACUGGAGGAAGGUGGGGAUGACGUCAAGUCAUCAUGGCCCUUACGAGUAGGGCUACACACGUGCUACAAUGGCAUAUACAAAGAGAAGCGACCUCGCGAGAGCAAGCGGACCUCAUAAAGUAUGUCGUAGUCCGGAUUGGAGUCUGCAACUCGACUCCAUGAAGUCGGAAUCGCUAGUAAUCGUAGAUCAGAAUGCUACGGUGAAUACGUUCCCGGGCCUUGUACACACCGCCCGUCACACCAUGGGAGUGGGUUGCAAAAGAAGUAGGUAG
RNAcentral lists this ribosomal RNA (619 nucleotides) under Klebsiella aerogenes. Its description in RNAcentral is "bacterial SSU rRNA". It matches the Rfam family "Bacterial small subunit ribosomal RNA", at positions 814 to 1433 of the family's 1533-position model. The record is from RNAcentral. Lineage: Bacteria; Pseudomonadati; Pseudomonadota; Gammaproteobacteria; Enterobacterales; Enterobacteriaceae.